This 118-nucleotide ribosomal RNA is filed under the name uncultured bacterium. RNAcentral describes it as "partial 16S ribosomal RNA". It matches the Rfam family "Bacterial small subunit ribosomal RNA", at positions 1364 to 1482 of the family's 1533-position model. The record is from RNAcentral.
CGAUACGUCCGGCCUUGAACACACCGCCCGUCACACCACGAAAGUCGGCAACACCCGAAGCCGGUGGCCUAACCCGUAAGGGGAGGAGCCGUCGAAGGUGGGGUCGGUGAUUGGGGUG